Molecule: ribosomal RNA, 556 nt
Filed under: Escherichia coli
Lineage: Bacteria; Pseudomonadati; Pseudomonadota; Gammaproteobacteria; Enterobacterales; Enterobacteriaceae
Description: bacterial LSU rRNA
Rfam family: Bacterial large subunit ribosomal RNA
Source: RNAcentral
UGUUUCGGCAAGGGGGUCAUCCCGACUUACCAACCCGAUGCAAACUGCGAAUACCGGAGAAUGUUAUCACGGGAGACACACGGCGGGUGCUAACGUCCGUCGUGAAGAGGGAAACAACCCAGACCGCCAGCUAAGGUCCCAAAGUCAUGGUUAAGUGGGAAACGAUGUGGGAAGGCCCAGACAGCCAGGAUGUUGGCUUAGAAGCAGCCAUCAUUUAAAGAAAGCGUAAUAGCUCACUGGUCGAGUCGGCCUGCGCGGAAGAUGUAACGGGGCUAAACCAUGCACCGAAGCUGCGGCAGCGACACUAUGUGUUGUUGGGUAGGGGAGCGUUCUGUAAGCCUGUGAAGGUGUGCUGUGAGGCAUGCUGGAGGUAUCAGAAGUGCGAAUGCUGACAUAAGUAACGAUAAAGCGGGUGAAAAGCCCGCUCGCCGGAAGACCAAGGGUUCCUGUCCAACGUUAAUCGGGGCAGGGUGAGUCGACCCCUAAGGCGAGGCCGAAAGGCGUAGUCGAUGGGAAACAGGUUAAUAUUCCUGUACUUGGUGUUACUGCGAAGGGG